GACGAACGCUGGCGGCGUGCUUAACACAUGCAAGUCGAACGAGAUCCAUUCAGUAGCAAUACUGAUGAAGAUCUAGUGGCGAACGGGUGCGUAACACGUGAGGAACUUGUCCCGGUCUCUGGGAUAACAGUUGGAAACGACUGCUAAUACCGGAUGACGUCGGAACUUCGCAUGGAGUACUGACGAAAGGGUUACUGGAUCGGGAGAGCCUCGCGGCCUAUCAGCUUGUUGGUGGGGUAAUGGCCUACCAAGGCAUCGACGGGUAGCUGGUCUGAGAGGAUGAUCAGCCACACUGGGACUGAGACACGGCCCAGACUCCUACGGGAGGCAGCAGUGGGGAAUCUUGCACAAUGGGCGAAAGCCUGAUGCAGCAACGCCGCGUGCGGGAAGAAGGCCCUCGGGUUGUAAACCGCUUUCAGAAGGAACGAAACUGACGGUACUUUCAGAAGAAGGUGCGGCCAACUACGUGCCAGCAGCCGCGGUGACACGUAGGCACCAAGCGUUGUCCGGAUUUAUUGGGCGUAAAGAGCUCGUAGGCGGUUCAGUAAGUCGGGUGUGAAAACUUUGGGCUUAACCCAAAGCGUGCAUCUGAUACUGCUGUGACUUGAGUUCGGUAGGGGAGCGGGGAAUUCCUAGUGUAGCGGUGAAAUGCGCAGAUAUUAGGAGGAACACCGGUGGCGAAGGCGCCGCUCUGGGCCGAAACUGACGCUGAGGAGCGAAAGCAUGGGUAGCAAACAGGAUUAGAUACCCUGGUAGUCCAUGCCGUAAACGUUGGGCACUAGGUGUGGGUUCCAACCAACGGAAUCCGCGCCGUCGCUAACGCAUUAAGUGCCCCGCCUGGGG
This 843-nucleotide ribosomal RNA is filed under the name uncultured bacterium. RNAcentral describes it as "bacterial SSU rRNA". It matches the Rfam family "Bacterial small subunit ribosomal RNA", at positions 28 to 878 of the family's 1533-position model. The record is from RNAcentral.